Long non-coding RNA from Passer domesticus (house sparrow), 302 nucleotides. RefSeq lists it as uncharacterized. The record is from RefSeq and is a predicted model, not a curated record. NCBI's taxonomy places the organism in Eukaryota, Metazoa, Chordata, Aves, Passeriformes, Passeridae. The transcript has 2 exons.
UCCUGGGAGAAGUUCUGCCCUGUCAAUCUGAACUGGGAGAUUUGUCCAGCUGAGGGUCUGUCUGUCCGUCCCUCCAUGGGAUGAUAAUGGACCUUUGUUCUGUAGGCCCACUGCCCCCCACCUCUGCAUGCCUUGGGGGGAUCUCACCCUUGGGCAGCCUGGAUUGUUCCUUAUCCCAAACGUUUCCAGUGAAGAGCACAGACCUUACUCAGCCUUUACUAAACCCUUACCCACAUCUUUGACAGCACUCUCCUAGCUACAAGGAAAAAGCUGUGGGAAUCUGGAGUAUGUCAUGAGCUCUG